AUGCACGCUGGCGGCGUGCCUAAUACAUGCAAGUCGGGCGCACAGACGAGGAGCUUGCUCCUCUGACGUUAGCGGCGGACGGGUGAGUAACACGUGGAUAACCUACCUAUAAGACUGGGAUAACUUCGGGAAACCGGAGCUAAUACCGGAUAAUAUAUUGAACCGCAUGGUUCAAUAGUGAAAGACGGUUUUGCUGUCACUUAUAGAUGGAUCCGCGCCGCAUUAGCUAGUUGGUAAGGUAACGGCUUACCAAGGCAACGAUGCGUAGCCGACCUGAGAGGGUGAUCGGCCACACUGGAACUGAGACACGGUCCAGACUCCUACGGGAGGCAGCAGUAGGGAAUCUUCCGCAAUGGGCGAAAGCCUGACGGAGCAACGCCGCGUGAGUGAUGAAGGUCUUCGGAUCGUAAAACUCUGUUAUUAGGGAAGAACAAAUGUGUAAGUAACUAUGCACGUCUUGACGGUACCUAAUCAGAAAGCCACGGCUAACUACGUG
Molecule: ribosomal RNA, 496 nt
Filed under: uncultured bacterium
Lineage: Bacteria
Description: partial 16S ribosomal RNA
Rfam family: Bacterial small subunit ribosomal RNA
Source: RNAcentral